RNAcentral lists this ribosomal RNA (441 nucleotides) under uncultured bacterium. RNAcentral's name for it is "partial 16S ribosomal RNA". It matches the Rfam family "Bacterial small subunit ribosomal RNA", at positions 338 to 795 of the family's 1533-position model. The record is from RNAcentral.
CCUACGGGGUGCAGCAGUGGGGAAUAUUGCACAAUGGGGGAAACCCUGAUGCCGCCACGCCGCGUGAGUGAAGAAGUCUUUCGGUAUGUAAAGCUCUAUCAGCAGGGAAGAAGAAAGACGGUACCUGACUAAGAAGCACCGGCUAACUACGUGCCAGCAGCCGCGGUAAUACGUAGGGGGCAAGCGUUAACCGUAAUUACUGGGUGUAAAGGGAGCGUAGACGGCUGUGCAAGUCAGAAGUGAAAGCCCGUGGCUCAACCGCUGAACUGCAUUGGAUACUGUCUAGCUUGAGUACUGUAGAGGCAGGUGGAAUUACUAGUGGAGCGGUGAAAUGCGUAGAUAUGAGGAGGAAUACCAGUGGCGAAGGCGGCCUGCUGGACAGAAACUGACGCUGAGGCUCGAAAGCGUGGGGAGCAAACAGGAUUAGAUACCCUUGUAGUC